This is a long non-coding RNA of Musa acuminata AAA Group (dessert banana), 3079 nucleotides long. RefSeq lists it as uncharacterized. The transcript has 6 exons. The record is from RefSeq and is a predicted model, not a curated record. NCBI's taxonomy places the organism in Eukaryota, Viridiplantae, Streptophyta, Magnoliopsida, Zingiberales, Musaceae.
CGAGUGCGGUCGAUCCGGACGAGCCGUAGCGCCACGCCGCCUUAUCCGCCCUCUGCCUGUUCUAUGCGCCCGCCCACCGUCACCUCCGCCUUGCCUCAGCUUCGAGUUUCCCGCGCCACCGCUUCGCUGGAACUUCUUCCCAGCCGCGGCAGCCUCCUUAGCUCUGGCCGCCGGACGAUCGAGGAGCAGUUCUUCUCUGCCAGGGUUCGGCCCGCGAUGGUCUCUUCCGCCGGCGAGGCCCGUCUCUCGACCUUAGAGGAAUGUGUUGGAGUUGGCUUUUCUGUAUUCAGUUUGUGAGUGCAUCGGUGUGUUGGUUGCUUCUCCCUUCAAGGCUGUGUUCGGCUGGUGCUGGGCGCCUCUGCUGGCGGGGCGCACAGAAGCUGUUCGAUGAAUUAUCGGUCGUGCGUAUGCCUGUUUUCUUAAUCUGCAGAGCUCUUGGAAUUCGUUCUAACGUUGGAUUUUGUUGAGGCCAGCUCCCGGGAAUGAGUUCUAGAGCUCGAAAAUGUGAUUUUUUGCUGGUUAAUUGCUUCUCUCACAGGAAAUGAGGGCAUCCUAACAGUGGAUAUUCGUGUGGACUUCGGAAUUGGGUCAUCGUACGCAUGCUUAUUUGUCGUUUUGCAAAAUUGAACAGUGAAUUAUUUGUAUGCAUCAGCAACCAGAACAACCAGGCUUGCCAUAAGAAGCAUGGUAUUCUUACAAACAAAACUAGUGGGAUGGUUUACAUGUUUGUUACAGAGAGUUUAUGGUUUAUCUUCAGAUCUUGAGCGAUGCCAAAUUCACUGCUAAGCAAUUCGCAGAGCUGUUGGAUCUCAUCUUCUGAUCAAGGUUGCUAGUUCUAACAGCCCAAAAUUGGCAGCUGAGGAAUCUAACCUGACUGUGCUUGUUUUGAGCAUAUUGUUCAGUAUUUUGCUGCAUUUUGCUAAGAAGCGAAAGGUCUGCUCUAGUGGGUUGUUAAUCUUUGAAGUGGCUAAUUCCAAGGGAGUGACACUUGAUGUGGCAAUUAGAUGCAGUUAUUCAAUGCAUGAAGUUGAUAUGAAGCAUGCAAAAACGAAUGAGCUCAUAAAUGAACAUACGAAGAUAGAGGAUUACCUGCAUGUAAACCAUGGGGGAGAACUGCAAGUCUGGACCAAGCACCUUAUCUGGUACGAGGAGCCUCCAACGCGACGACGACGACGACUCCACGUCCAGCCACUCACCCAGCGUCCUUGUACACCUAGCUUCGAUGAUCCUCAGCCCACAGUCAUUGCACUUGAUCAGUGGACGUCCACUCUCCGCCCUCCGAAUUCGUCCAGCCAUGGGAUAGCAGAUGUUGAGCCACAAGAACAUGGGAUUUUUUAGGUCGGCAAUGGUGAUACCAUCAGUGAUCUCACUUUGAUUGAAGUAGUACACAGCCCUCAGGUAGUGCAGCUUCAUGAUGAGGUCCAUAUUGGUGAGUUCAUGCAGGACAGCAUUGCCGGUCACCGUCGCAGGCACCACAGUCGAUAUCCUGUGAUCGUAGAUGGCAGUCUUUUCCUGUUCAACACCCAUGACCUGGUCUUAGAGGAGACUAGAGAAAGCUGAGGAGGAGAAAGAGACUAGAAGUUUGUAGGUCACACAUUUUUGGAGACUUGGCUCGGCAUACGAUAUAUAGAGAAGGAUCGGAGGUAGGAAGCUGGGGUGGUGUGGGAGGUGAGCAACUAUUGUGACGGCAUUUUAAAUGGCUGCAUUGGUUGAUGGGGCCCUGAAAAUGAACAUAAAGAUCGGGAAGCAUGAUCAGUUGGUUGGCACUAAAUUAAUUGGCGGUGACAAGAUUACCACAUCGCGGUGCAAAGUACUCCCAGUGACAUGCAAACUUCUUCAGAUAUAAGAGAUGGGGGCUUCCUAAUGUUAUUCCUUGAGGCAACUGAGAUGACAGUGAAAUAACAGUGUUGCUCGAACCCUCAAAUGGACGGAAAUGGAGGAAUGCAAGGUGGAUAAACAAGGAGUGGAAUAACAGUGUUCUUCUGGUCAGAUCGAGUGUGGUGGAUCUUAAGAUUUGAGCUCCAUUUCCUAAAUAUAGACAAACCUGGUUACAAAUUUGAAGUUGCUACAGUUUCUGAGAUAUGGAGAUGGGAGUUUGAUCAGAAGAGAAAGUUGUAUGUAACAUUGGAGUUCCGAGUUUCUCACGGUGAAUGAAGACGGAGGUUCUCACGUGAAGUGCUUAGUGCUUAAUCAUUAGCCCACCAUUAAUGCAGUCCCUACUCACCUGCCUAUGCUGCUGUUCUAUGGUCCUUUCAUGCCCAGUCCUUAACCCCCUUGCUCCAUUCUUUGAUCAAAGUGUUCAUGGCUUCACUGUUGCUUUUAAUCCUGUAUCAUAUGUGGGAGGACAGUUGAGUUGGUUUACAAGAUCAGAGGCAGUAAGCAAUCAUUAAUCUGAGCAUAAAUAUUUUGGAUUAGUACCAUGAUUGGAUUGGAUUUCUACCAAAUAAAAUAAAUUGGAGCGCACGUAGACGUCCCAAUUUGUCUUUGAACCCAAAUCAGUAAUGACCAAAGCAAAAAGAAUGUAUCAAGAAAAGCCUUCUGAUGCAGGUCCUGAGUGGUUGCAGCUGUUAUGAAUGAGGAUGGUGACGGAGUCCAUUGUUGCUUGCUUGAUUAAGCGAGUAUGUCGUAGAUCUAAUCAUUGAAAACUAUGCAUGUUUAGGUGAGGCCUUCAAUAAUUGUGGUCUCCUUUAGGCUGUCAAGGAAGGUGGUUAACUGACUUAACUGGACAACCUCUUCUUUGAGCUCAUCAUUUUUUCUCUGCCUGACUUGGAACUAUUAGGGUGGAAACUUGAAGGGCUGGAGAAAGUGAGGUGAUGUCUUUUCCUUGACAUGAAGAGCUGUUUCAAGGAUAAGACAAGAGACAUGUCACUGAUGCUGAUGUGACUGCUUAUUUUUAAUAAGUAUGAUGUGCAGUGUAGCUCACCAGAAGAUAACAACAUUGUUGCUUGUAUUAUUAAUUAAAGCAGCCACUGGAGUGGUUGAGACUAUGUUAUGUAGAGGACAUUCAAGAACAUGCAACAGUUGCUGUCACCUUAUUUGGAUGUGCAAUGAAUGAUGCUUGGUGAAGUUAAAACAUUUA